GCGUGGAUGAUGUGGUUAAUUCGAUGCAACGCGAAAACCUUACCACCUUUGACAUGUACGGAAUCCUUUAGAGAUAGAGGAGUGCUCGAAAGAGAACCGUAACACAGGUGCUGCAUGGCUGUCGUCAGCUCGUGUCGUGAGAUGUUGGGUUAAGUCCCGCAACGAGCGCAACCCUUGUCAUUAGUUGCUACAUUCAGUUGGGCACUCUAAUGAGACUGCCGGUGACAAACCGGAGGAAGGUGGGGAUGACGUCAAGUCCUCAUGGCCCUUAUAGGUGGGGCUACACACGUCAUACAAUGGAUGGUACAAAGGGUCGCCAACCCGCGAGGGGGAGCCAAUCCCAUAAAGCCAUUCGUAGUCCGGAUCGCAGUCUGCAACUCGACUGCGUGAAGUCGGAAUCGCUAGUAAUCGUGGAUCAGAAUGUCACGGUGAAUACGUUCCCGGGUCUU
This 449-nucleotide ribosomal RNA is filed under the name uncultured Acidovorax sp. Its description in RNAcentral is "bacterial SSU rRNA". It matches the Rfam family "Bacterial small subunit ribosomal RNA", at positions 929 to 1382 of the family's 1533-position model. Lineage: Bacteria; Pseudomonadati; Pseudomonadota; Betaproteobacteria; Burkholderiales; Comamonadaceae. The record is from RNAcentral.